This 301-nucleotide ribosomal RNA is filed under the name uncultured bacterium. Its description in RNAcentral is "partial 16S ribosomal RNA". It matches the Rfam family "Bacterial small subunit ribosomal RNA", at positions 509 to 808 of the family's 1533-position model. The record is from RNAcentral.
CAGCCGCCGCGGUAAAACGUAGGUCCCGAGCGUUGUCCGGAUUUAUUGGGCGUAAAGGGAGCGCAGGCGGUUUAGUAAGUCUGGAGUUAAAGGCAUUGGCUCAACCAAUGUAUGCUUUGGAAACUGGGAAACUUGAGUGCAGAAGAGGAGAGUGGAAUUCCACGUGUAGCGGUGAAAUGCGUAGAGAUGUGGAGGAACACCAGUGGCGAAGGCGACUCUCUGGUCUGUAACUGACGCUGAGGAGCGAAAGCGUGGGGAGCGAACAGGAUUAGAUACCCCCGUAGUCCCUGUCUCUUAUACA